This is a long non-coding RNA of Quercus robur (English oak), 715 nucleotides long. RefSeq lists it as uncharacterized. The record is from RefSeq and is a predicted model, not a curated record. The transcript is spliced from 2 exons. Lineage: Eukaryota; Viridiplantae; Streptophyta; Magnoliopsida; Fagales; Fagaceae.
GAGAGAGAGAGAGAGAGAGAGAGAGAGAGAGAGAGAGGGAGAAAAGCAGCAGCGUAACCUUCACCCUACGCUAAACUCUCAACCCAACGGAAACGCAACGCAACGCAAGCAUUCAUCAUCCUCUUCGUCUCUCUGAUAUCCAAAUUUAGGGUUUUCUACUUUCAUCCGUCACUCUCACUCUCUCAGUUUUCUCUCUUAAUUUUUUUAAGAUGGAAUUUGGAGCAUUCCGAAACGGCGUCGUUGACUCCUCGGACACCGCCGCCGCCGGUGGAUUUUGGAUUCCGGCCGAGCACUCCUCCUGCUCCGACGACGUUUCGUUGGAGUUUCGUGAGACAUACACAUAACUGGGGGACUUGCUGGCUUGGUUGGAUGGGUCGGUUUGGUAAGCUCAGGGGAAGCAAUUGCUGGAAGGCCAUUCCUUUGUGCCUUAUGUGGAUCAUUUGGUGUGAAUGGAACAAUCGGGCUUUUGAAGGAAUUAGAACAGAACGCAGAACAACGGAGCUCAAGAUGAUUGUUUUAAGAUCUUUGUUUUGACUGGAUGGUUGUAACACCUAUGUACCUGAGAUCCAGUUUUUUCGAUUUUCUAGACUCUUGUAAUAUGUCAUAAUUCUGCAGUUAUAGCAUGCAGCUUGUGUACCGGAGCUGCAUUUCUUCAUUCUAAUAAAAUUUCUUAUUUACCUAUAUAUAAAAAGAAAGAAAGUUGGAAUAUCCUUCA